Molecule: transfer RNA, 58 nt
Filed under: Muribaculaceae bacterium
Lineage: Bacteria; Pseudomonadati; Bacteroidota; Bacteroidia; Bacteroidales; Muribaculaceae
Description: tRNA-OTHER
Rfam family: tRNA
About the family: Transfer RNA (tRNA) molecules are approximately 80 nucleotides in length.
Source: RNAcentral
CAAGCAGUAGCUCAGCUGGUAGAGCCAUGUGUCGUGGGUUCGAGCCCCACCUGCUUGA